Molecule: long non-coding RNA, 441 nt
Organism: Nicotiana attenuata
Lineage: Eukaryota; Viridiplantae; Streptophyta; Magnoliopsida; Solanales; Solanaceae
Exons: 3
Source: RefSeq, a predicted model, not a curated record
AAGAAGAAAAAAAAAUAGAAGAUAAGGAGGAGGAAAGGCAACAGCCAAAGUACACAAGGAGAGUUGGGGAAAAAGCUGGUGCCGCAAAAAACAAGCUUUUUCCAGCCAAUUUUUGUUUCAAAUUUCAAGGUAAUUGAAGAAGUUGUACGGAUUGCUCGUGGGGACGCGUUUGGUAUUUCGGCACAAGUAUUAGACAGCAGUUGACGCGAGCGAGGAUUUCGCUAAUUAGAGUACACGAGUUGAUAGUUCCUAGUGAGCCCCGCACUUUUUCGCGUGGGUGAUGAGUUUAUUUAUUCAUUAUCGUUCUUUCCUUAUGAACUCUUAGAGUUGCUCCAUAGUCAUUUUUAUUAGCUUCAUGAGUAUUCAUUCGUUAUAUUGGACUAGUUACUAGUAUUGCACUUCUUUCCGUAUUUUUGAAAUAAGUUUAGUACUAUUAUGUUG